UACAGAGGAGCCAAGCGUUGUCCGGAUUGACUGGGCGUAAAGCGCACGCAGGCGGACGCGCGCGUGGGGUGUGAAAUCUGGCCGCUUAACGGCCAGGCGCCAUCCCAUACGGCGCGUCUGGAGUGAUGCAGAGGUCGAUGGAAUUGCCGGUGUAGUGGUGAAAUGCGUAGAGAUCGGCAGGAACACCCAGGGGGAAACCAGCCGACUGGGCAGCUGCUGACGCUGAGGUGCGAGAGCGUGGGGAGCGAACCGG
This 253-nucleotide ribosomal RNA is filed under the name uncultured bacterium. RNAcentral describes it as "partial 16S ribosomal RNA". It matches the Rfam family "Bacterial small subunit ribosomal RNA", at positions 524 to 776 of the family's 1533-position model. The record is from RNAcentral.